This 345-nucleotide ribosomal RNA is filed under the name uncultured Synergistaceae bacterium. RNAcentral's name for it is "bacterial SSU rRNA". It matches the Rfam family "Bacterial small subunit ribosomal RNA", at positions 1041 to 1382 of the family's 1533-position model. The record is from RNAcentral. Lineage: Bacteria; Thermotogati; Synergistota; Synergistia; Synergistales; Synergistaceae.
CUGCAUGGCGUGUCGUCAGCUCGUGUCGUGAGAUGUUGGGUUAAGUCCCGCAACGAGCGCAACCCUGCAUUCAGUUGCCAUCGGGUAGUGCCGGGCACUCUGGAAGGACUGCCAUCGACAAGGAUGGAGGAAGGUGGGGGAUGACGUCAAGUCAUCAUGGCCCUUAUGUCCAGGGCGACACACGUGCUACAAUGGCCGGCACAACGGGAAGCGAGUUCGCGAGGACAAGCGGAUCCCUUAAAGCCGGUCGCAGUUCGGAUUGAAGUCUGCAACUCGACUUCAUGAAGCUGGAAUCGCUAGUAAUCGUGGAUCAGCCAAGCCGCGGUGAAUACGUUCCCGGGCCUU